AGCCCCGUGGUGAAGACACGUCAGAUUGCAAAUCUGAAGACGUAGGCUUACAGCCUGCCGGGGCUU
RNAcentral lists this transfer RNA (66 nucleotides) under Halosaurus sp. RNAcentral's name for it is "tRNA-Cys". It matches the Rfam family "tRNA". From Rfam's summary of the family: Transfer RNA (tRNA) molecules are approximately 80 nucleotides in length. Their secondary structure includes four short double-helical elements and three loops (D, anti-codon, and T loops). The record is from RNAcentral. Lineage: Eukaryota; Metazoa; Chordata; Actinopteri; Notacanthiformes; Halosauridae.